Molecule: ribosomal RNA, 496 nt
Filed under: uncultured bacterium
Lineage: Bacteria
Description: partial 16S ribosomal RNA
Rfam family: Bacterial small subunit ribosomal RNA
Source: RNAcentral
AUGCACGCUGGCGGCGUGCCUCAUCCCUGCAAGUCGAGCGAACAGACGAGGAGCUUGCUCCUCUGACGUUAGCGGCGGACGGGUGAGUAACACGUGGAUAACCUACCUAUAAGACUGGGAUAACUUCGGGAAACCGGAGCUAAUACCGGAUAAUAUAUUGAACCGCAUGGUUCAAUAGUGAGAGACGGUUUUGCUGUCACUUAUAGGUGGAUCCGCGCCGCAUUAGCUAGUUGGUAAGGUAACGGCUUACCAAGGCGACGAUGCGUAGCCGACCUGAGAGGGUGAUCGGCCACACUGGAACUGAGACACGGUCCAGACUCCUACGGGAGGCAGCAGUAGGGAAUCUUCCGCAAUGGGCGAAAGCCUGACGGAGCAACGCCGCGUGAGUGAUGAAGGUCUUCGGAUCGUAAAACUCUGUUAUUAGGGAAGAACAAAUGUGUAAGUAACUAUGCACGUCUUGACGGUACCUAAUCAGAAAGCCACGGCUAACUACGUG